AACGAACGCUGGCGGCAUGCCUAAUACAUGCAAGUCGAGCGCAGGAAACUGACGGAACUCUUCGGAGGGAAGGCAGUGGAAUGAGCGGCGGACGGGUGAGUAACACGUAAGGAACCUGCCUCAAGGAUUGGGAUAACUCCGAGAAAUCGGAGCUAAUACCGGAUAGUUCAUCGGACCGCAUGGUCCGUUGAUGAAAGGCGCUCCGGCGUCACCUUGAGAUGGCCUUGCGGUGCAUUAGCUAGUUGGUGGGGUAACGGCCCACCAAGGCGACGAUGCAUAGCCGACCUGAGAGGGUGAUCGGCCACACUGGGACUGAGACACGGCCCAGACUCCUACGGGAGGCAGCAGUAGGGAAUCUUCCACAAUGGACAAAAGUCUGAUGGAGCAACGCCGCGUGAGUGAUGAAGGUUUUCGGAUCGUAAAACUCUGUUGUAAGGGAAGAACACGUACGAGAGGGAAUGCUCGUACCUUGACGGUACCUUACGAGAAAGCCACGGCUAACUACGUGCCAGCCGCCGCGGUAA
Molecule: ribosomal RNA, 524 nt
Filed under: uncultured bacterium
Lineage: Bacteria
Description: partial 16S ribosomal RNA
Rfam family: Bacterial small subunit ribosomal RNA
Source: RNAcentral